GAUGAACGCUGGCGGCGUGCCUAAUACAUGCAAGUCGAGCGAACAGACGAGGAGCUUGCUCCUCUGACGUUAGCGGCGGACGGGUGAGUAACACGUGGAUAACCUACCUAUAAGACUGGGAUAACUUCGGGAAACCGGAGCUAAUACCGGAUAAUAUAUUGAACCGCAUGGUUCAAUAGUGAAAGACGGUUUUGCUGUCACUUAUAGAUGGAUCCGCGCCGCAUUAGCUAGUUGGUAAGGUAACGGCUUACCAAGGCAACGAUGCGUAGCCGACCUGAGAGGGUGAUCGGCCACACUGGAAGUGAGACACGGUCCAGACUCCUACGGGAGGCAGCAGUAGGGAAUCUUACGCAAUGGGCGAAAGCCUGACGGAGCAACGCCGCGUGAGUGAUGACGGUCUUCGGAUCGUAAAACUCUGUUAUUAGGGAAGAACAAAUGUGUAAGUAACUAUGCACGUCUUGACGGUACCUAAUCAGAAAGCCACGGCUAACUACGUG
RNAcentral lists this ribosomal RNA (497 nucleotides) under uncultured bacterium. Its description in RNAcentral is "partial 16S ribosomal RNA". It matches the Rfam family "Bacterial small subunit ribosomal RNA", at positions 28 to 507 of the family's 1533-position model. The record is from RNAcentral.